This 1134-nucleotide long non-coding RNA is filed under the name Heterocephalus glaber (naked mole-rat). RNAcentral's name for it is "lncRNA (ENSHGLG00000036367.1)". The record is from RNAcentral. Lineage: Eukaryota; Metazoa; Chordata; Mammalia; Rodentia; Bathyergidae.
GCAUGUUUGAAAAGCCAAAAGCAAUUAGCCAUUAUGCAAGAUACUUGAUCUCAGUUUCCUGCACUGCAAAAUGGGAAUGGUUGCACCCUCCGUAUGGGAUUGUGAUGAGCACUGUGUGUGGCUUCAGGAAUGCACUGAUGAGCAGUUACUUCUUGUCCUUGAGAAACUUCUGAUCCAGAGGGAGAAACAUAAAACCAGCAGCACAGCAUCUUCACUUCUCUCUGACUCUCCCCCUUCAAUCUCCUGCCUCCAGCUUAUAAGGACCCCGAGGAUUACAAGUAGAGCAAAGUUCAAGAUCUACAGUAUAGGUUGACCAGCCGAAUGACUGCAACAGCUGCUUUGGAAGGGCUUCCUUGAGCUUUGUGUGAAGAAUUUUGAGGCUGUGUGUGGGUUCAGUAAUGUGGAAGCCAAUGAGACUUCAGAUGUGGAGGAUCUGGAGAUGGGGAGAUUAUCCUGAAUGCUGCUGGUGGACACAGUGUAGCCAUGAGGACCCUUACGAUGAAGAAGGAAGGCAGAAACAUGGGGAGGUUUCAAAGAUGAGAAAAGAGCUGCAAGCUGAAGAAUGUACGUGGCCUCCCAAAGCUGGAAAAGACUUUCCAGAAUGAAAAAGGAUGAAGAGGAAGAGGGUGAAGAGCUUGACCCAGAGAGUAUCCUUUUAUCCCUCUGAAACCAAAGCUUCCCACAGCCCACCCUGCAGACUUUCCAUAUUUGUCUCACUGAUCAGAGCUUUUUCCAUGGCCACCAGUAGCUGAGAGCUGGCCAGAGAGAAUAAGCAAGCGAUGGUUAUGGGGUCAGAUGAGCUAAGCAACAGUGCCUGACCUACUCAUCAGAAGUGUUCAAAUAUUUGCACAAGUUUGUUUCUUUUACUGGUUAACUGGAGCAUAGAGACCCAUGGACUCAGCUUUUAAAGCUGGUGUCCUUUUCACUACACCUAACUGUUUGGAUUAUGAUAGCAACAUUUGCUUUUCUUUUGGCUCAAAAUUAUACCUCUCAAUUAUACCUUUGUUAAAGCAAAGAAGUGUCAGAAACUGAGUAACAUUAUGCAUGAAUUAAAUGUAAAUCUGAAUUUGCCCAACUGGCUCCUUCUAGAUAAUAGAGAUUACACUUAACUUGAUAGGAACUGGACAAACCCAC